This 560-nucleotide long non-coding RNA is filed under the name Capsella rubella. Its description in RNAcentral is "long non-coding RNA (CRUB_LNC004612)". Lineage: Eukaryota; Viridiplantae; Streptophyta; Magnoliopsida; Brassicales; Brassicaceae. The record is from RNAcentral.
UCAACACUUAGAGUUAAACCUUUAAACAUUUAGGUCGAUCGAAUAGAUUUUUUACAGGUACAUUAGACUAACUAAUUAAGUUCUCAAAAAUGGGUUUUGAAUUAUGUAAUAAUUUUAAGUUGUUUGAGACUUCGAUAAAUAUAAUGAGAAGAGAAGGUGAGGUGGACAUAAUCAAAUAAUUAAUAUAUAUAUACUACUAAGUUUUACUAUAUCAAAUAAUAUAGAAACCAACCCACCCACCCAAGUAGCCACCACAAAGAAACUUUCGAAAAGAAAAAAAAAAUCAUAAUGAGCUAAAUUAUUCCACAUGCUAUUGGAUAAAUAUAAGAUUAUUGUUGACAGCAUACUUAUUUGGAAUUCUUCUUUCCCUCGAUUGCUAUAAUAAUACUUCUAAGACCAAAAAAAAAAAAAACAAAAACAAAGGACCUGAUAGAGAGGAAAGAGCGAGCGUUUGAUUGCAUGAGACACCAGUUUUGGUGGCAAGAAAGUCCACCAAUCAGAGAUCUUAGGUUAGUAUGAAUUGGAAUAUAACUAUAACACCUAAUAAGGAUUAAUUAUUG